CAAACAGCCUACCCGUGCGACGACGGUGUGUGUGGUUUUUUUUUCGCCACAUCACAAAUCGUUUUUAACUGUGGUCCAAAGUUCAGAGUGGCGCGUUUGAUUACUCUCUGCCUUCUUGACCAUCGUCGGUGUCGGCGAUAAUGGAGACCCACAAUCUUCUUUAAUGCAGAGUCAUCUACAGCGCGACACCACUCGUCAGUAAAGAACCCUGGACCCGGUGGAGGAGCGCUCUAUUCUUGCACCAACUGUGUGUGGCGGCGUGUGUGUUGUGCGGACAAGAAACAAAUCACAGGCGCAGAAACUACUGUUAAGCUGUGCAGCGUAACCAAUUAAACGGGAUACAUUACUUGUGUGUGUGUUACGAUAAUGGCCAAAUCCAAGUCCAACGAUGGCUAUCAGCGCGGUGUUUACGGUGCACUGCGUACGCUGAUGCACUUCAUCGUGGCGGUUCAAUUUUCGUACGGAGUUUACUACGAUUUUACGUACGUUCACUUCCCACCGGGUAUGCUCCGGCCGGGUGGUGAGUUUGGUGGCAAGCUAAAAUUUCUCACUGUCUGGGAUGCGAUUCUGCAAGCCGUUUACUUCACAAUUUGUCUGCUAAAUGAUUUCAUCGGCACGAAUGAGGUAGCCCCGAAGCGGAUGCCACUCAUCCGCAAGGUGAAAGACUACAUGCUGGCAGCGUUCGCGUUCCCGGUAGCGCUUAACGUUGGCGUUACCUUCUGGACGCUGAUGGCAAUCGACCGGGAGCUCGUAUUCCCCAAGGUGCUGGAUGCUGUGUUCCCAGGCUGGCUUAACCACGUUAUGCAUACCAACAUUGUCAUCUUCAUGGUGAUAGAAAUCUGCACCAGCUUCCGGCAGUACCCAACGCGCAAGGCCGGUUUAACCGGGCUGGGCAUUUUCAUGGCCUCGUACCUCGGGUGGCUGCACGUGGUGCGACACUAUGGCGGCAUCUGGGUUUACCCGGUGCUGGAAGUGCUCAACUUUCCCCAGCGUCUCGUGUUCUUCGCCGUCAGCCUUGGGUUUAGCGUCGGUCUGUACCUGCUCGGAGAGUUCUUUAACAAUCUGAUCUGGACGAAAGAGCUGAAACAGUUACGGGCGGCCACUGGUGCCGGCGGUGCUAGUAAGAAGACCAAAUAGACGACGACCUGCGGGUGUCGUGCGAUACGUUAUUUGGCAUUUGUUUUAUGAACUCCCCCGCCCCGCCGUUUACGCUACUGCAUGCUGAUGCCGCGAGCAGAAAGCCCCUCAUCAUCAUCGUCGGGGUGUAGCUCUUUUCGUUUUUAACUUAAAACAGCAUCACGUGUGUUCGUUUCAUUCAGUUGUGAGCGUUUUUUGUUGUUUUUUUUUUUGUUUAACGAAAAAUCAGCCAUUCUUAUUUUAAAAACCACUCCGGAUCAAAGGAAGUGUGGCUUCUCUACAUCCCGGGUUUAGCGAUUACUAACAGUUUCGUACACGUGCUCUUAGAACAGUAACUAGGAUGCUCGUCAUACAGUCUCGAAGCGUCCCAACCAACGGUCGACGAUGAAAUGUCCACCAAGCUUCAUACGAUUAACAUUGUGUGACGAGCGUGACAGGGCAGAGGGACAAAGUUUUGCUUUCGAGGCAUCGUUGAGCGUCAAUGUUAAAAAGAAAAAGAGCACUUUUACUGGAAUUAGGAGAGAACCGAUUAAAAUGCGGCAUGGUUAAUUAUAUGGUUGGGAUGCUUCCCUUGCUACCAUUUAGCUGGAUACCUUCUGGUGAUCCUGUCUUACAUUCGGGGAGCCGAGAGAAGAAAGUUUUGGCCGCAGCAGUACCAGUCGAAGAUAUUUUCCCAUCAGCUGUGAAGAUCUUGAAUACAGCAAAAGGCUCAUGUAAGGUUCCGGUGUACGGUAAGAUCUAUUCGAGAAAUAGAGCGUUCGUGGCCUAGCUUUUCAUUGUUCAGCAGUUUGUUUCUCUUCGAUUCGCGAUAUAACAGAAGAGUUUUCGUCAACCAUCUUCCCUGAAUAAUCAUAAUAAUCAUCAUGAAUUUUCCCAUUGCGCUUCCAAUAUUUGGCGGGCAUGGUGAAAAAUUUGCAAAAUUUGAAUUUAAAGCAGAAGGGAAGUGGUAAUUCCCUGUACCAAGGGCUAACUGGAUUGUAAACUGGAGGCCGCCGGGUUUCAUACGGCAGGACAGGACCCAUCCAGACCGUCUCCAGGACUUGUGGCUUAUCCAGCUUUUACGGGUGAAAUCAAGUCAUCACAGAAAGUUUGAAAUUUUUGAACUGGCUGCGACCUCUCGAGGUUGUACUGGUUUGACUGAUAGUCAAACUGCUGGGAGCCCUGGGUAACAUUCGGUGUUCGGGUCAUUUCCUCACAAUCAGUCUUUCCCAGUGUUAUUCAAGCGCAAUUCCUAAAAUCCCUUCUGCGAACUUACAUUACACCACGAUCAAGCCAAGUCCCACUCAACGUUGUGCUAAUUUUGUUACCUUGAUCAUUAGAGCCGUGUGAGAUGGUGUUUAUAGGGAUAGUACAUAAGCCAAAAUAAAGCAUAUACAUGUGUAGUGCAUUUUACACAUCCUUAGUAUAAUUGUAUUUAAAUCGCAAUUCAAACCCACAUUGGCAGCAGAGUGUUCCAAGGUGUCAGGGGACUUUCGUAAGGACGUAGAGCGAUUUUCAUUCGCGUAAAGCAAAACUUGAUCGUCCAUUCUUCAGCCGUACUUUGCAGCUACUUACACUGCUCUCAUCGAUGUAUUUUUGUUGUUUCUAGACGUUAAAUGAGAAGCGGACACGCAGGAGAGGAGCACGGAUUAGCUCGAUUUAGCAAAUUUAGAUUUGACCAAUUUAAAUGUGAAUAAAUUUUGCACUCGUUUUGUAUGUGUUAGUGGACACCAAAAAAAAAAGGGAAUCACAUCACAUUUGGCUCGCCGUUAGAAUCAUCCCCUUACACCUGGAACUGUUCGAUUUCCGGUCCUACAUCAUCACCAUAACCACAUUGGCGACCGGACUACUUCGUAGCGUGUGCACGUGUGUAAUAUUACGCUAGACGGACCAUUAUUUACACAAUCGUUCUUAUAUAGCGCGAACCAAAUUAUAGGGGGCAGCCGAUAGUUCAGGUUUUUUGAAAGCCCUUCCUUCUUCCGGUGCCGGUGCGCUAUUUGUUCUUUGCUGGCACUCUGUAGUACCAAUUUAGAUGUUGCGUGUGCGUGAUAGGUGUACCAGUCGUAGAUAGCAAAAAAAACGGGGGGAGGUUAGAGGAAUAUUAAAGGAAGAAACGUUCAAUUUUUAAUCUCUUAAACGCGUGGAGUGCUGCAACGUGGACGAGUUUGGAAGCGCCAGUGGAAGAGCAAGGCGGGAUGUCACUUUACAAGAUUCAUCAUUCGAUCUGUGCUUAUUAUAUAAAUGAUAAUAAAAUGAGAUAGUAACGAA
This is an RNA transcript of Anopheles stephensi (Asian malaria mosquito), 3384 nucleotides long. It is a transcript of the gene named androgen-induced gene 1 protein-like, with no coding region annotated. NCBI's taxonomy places the organism in Eukaryota, Metazoa, Arthropoda, Insecta, Diptera, Culicidae. The record is from RefSeq and is a predicted model, not a curated record. The transcript has 4 exons.